RNAcentral lists this ribosomal RNA (567 nucleotides) under uncultured bacterium. Its description in RNAcentral is "bacterial SSU rRNA". It matches the Rfam family "Bacterial small subunit ribosomal RNA", at positions 50 to 610 of the family's 1533-position model. The record is from RNAcentral.
UACACAUGCAAGUCGAACGGCAGCACGGACUUCGGUCUGGUGGCGAGUGGCGAACGGGUGAGUAAUACAUCGGAACGUGUCCUGGAGUGGGGGAUAGCCCGGCGAAAGCCGGAUUAAUACCGCAUACGCUCUGAGGAGGAAAGCGGGGGAUCUUUCGGGACCUCGCGCUCAAGGGGCGGCCGAUGGCAGAUUAGCUAGUUGGUGGGGUAAAGGCCUACCAAGGCGACGAUCUGUAGCUGGUCUGAGAGGACGGCCAGCCACACUGGGACUGAGACACGGCCCAGACUCCUACGGGAGGCAGCAGUGGGGAAUUUUGGACAAUGGGCGCAAGCCUGAUCCAGCAAUGCCGCGUGUGUGAAGAAGGCCUUCGGGUUGUAAAGCACUUUUGUCCGGAAAGAAAACCUCGUGGCUAAUAUCCAUGGGGGAUGACGGUACCGGAAGAAUAAGCACCGGCUAACUACGUGCCAGCAGCCGCGGUAAUACGUAGGGUGCGAGCGUUAAUCGGAAUUACUGGGCGUAAAGCGUGCGCAGGCGGUCCGUUUAGACAGAUGUGAAAUCCCCGGGCUU